This 845-nucleotide long non-coding RNA is filed under the name Lathyrus oleraceus (garden pea). Its description in RNAcentral is "Pisum sativum (pea) long non-coding RNA (PSAT_LNC018002)". Lineage: Eukaryota; Viridiplantae; Streptophyta; Magnoliopsida; Fabales; Fabaceae. The record is from RNAcentral.
AUCACUCUGUUCUUUUUUUUCAAAUAAAAAUAAAAAGCCAAACAUGCCUUUACUUCCCUGUUCAUACAAUCCAUAUCUAUUUUUUUUACUUUUCUUCUCAUAUCACAUACCACAACCAUUAACCAUGUUUCUCUCUCAUUUUAAGGAGUCUAUACUUCAUAUCAUGGGACACACAUCAAGAAGAAGAACUUGAUAUAAAAAGGGGCAAUAUUCUUAUUCUCUUUAAACACGCUAAACACCAUUUUCAUAAAUACAUUCCUACACAUAAACCUCUCUAACAACAAAGCUCUAUAUAAUCUUCAAUAAUAAUUUAUUUUCAUCAAACUUUGUCAUAAUACCAUUAAACUUCUCACAAUUUUUUACAUCAUCAUAAAUCCACCUCACUUACUCAUAAACAUAAUUUCAACUUCAUUCUUUCAUCAUGAACUCACUUCAUUACUCAUAAAACACCAAGUUGUCAUACCAUUUCCGACGACUUCGUGAAAGCUCGACCGUGCCAUUUUCGCGAUCUCGUGAAAGCUUCAGUCGCCACCACACUAUCAGCUAGUAUCUCUCCAUUCCCCUCUUUUAUUUUCUGUUUUUGUUCAUAUUUAUUUUUAAAUUCUAAAGCUGUUGUUUGAUUAUUAUUUGAAAACUUGUGAUAGUUUUUGUUAAGAGAGUAAGAAGGUGAAUUGGAGUGAGAUGGGAGAUAAAGUUAAGUGAGAGAGAAAACCUUUCAGUAUUUUGUUUUUUGUUACUAAAUUUUUAAUUUGGUUUUACUUGUUUCUAUUUUUACUAUUAUUGAUGCCAUCAAAUGUGAUAAUUUAUUACAGAAAAAGAUUUUCUCAAUAAAAUCUGAAGAAAAA